CCAGGUCUAGUUGUUUUGAGAACUUGAUCAAUAUAACAAACAACUCUGUCAUCAGAAACAUCCAUAAGUCUGAUGUCAAUAGCAGCAAAUGUUUGGUCUCUCUGUCCUGAUAGAAGACAAAACAAUGUUACAAGACGAAAGAUAUCAUGCCAGCUAGCAGUUGCAGAGACUUCUGUAGUGGGUGCACAGCUUGUGGACGGUUUGGCAGUAACAUUAGAUGCUUGCUGGAAGGAAUAACAAUUCGUUCAGAAAUCAACAUUCUAUUGUACAGAGAAUACCAGGGACUAUAUGGCCAAUUAGGAACAAUUAGAAGACCAGUUGCAUUGUCAGAACAAAUCUUUUGUAAAACAUUAGGAAUAAUUGCAAAUGGUGGAAAGGCAUAAAAUUUAAUGGUUGACCAGCUAAAUGUAAACGAAUCAAUUGCUGAAGCCUCUGGAUCUGGCCAAAACGAUGCAAAAGGCUUAAAUUGGCAAUUGAUUCUAGAGGCAAAUAAAUCAAUGUCUAAGGUAACAUUUAAUUUUUUGAUUACAAAUUUAAACACAGAUGGAUUUAACUGCCAUUCUGUUCGAAG
Molecule: non-coding RNA, 571 nt
Organism: Rhopilema esculentum
Lineage: Eukaryota; Metazoa; Cnidaria; Scyphozoa; Rhizostomeae; Rhizostomatidae
Source: RefSeq, a predicted model, not a curated record